UGUUUAACUAAUUUUUUGCCUCAUCCAUAUUCAGAUGACUCUUGGAAUCAGACAGCGGUUAAACUUUCGCGCUGAAGACGUGCAGACGUGAUCGCCAGAAUGUCGCACCUGAUUCCCGAACCCAGAGGAGAGUUUUAGCGCUCAGAUGUUGCUCUUUUGACACUCCAGAGACUUGAAGGCAUCAUGAAAUUUACAUUAUUUGCUUUUGCGACGCAUGUCUGUGGUCUCGUCGUGCGUGAUUCAUCAGUACACGCUGUUUCAAAAGGACAAAAAGCAAAGCCAAGCUGAAUUAUUCACAGGUCGCUCAUUCACAGCUCAAAAGACUUAAUGGAGAUCCUAGUUGUGUUUCAUGCAAAAAUGCCCAUCCAAACUGAAUUGCUCACAGGUUGCUCAUUCACAGCUCAAAAGACCUAAUGGAGAUCCUAGU
This is a long non-coding RNA of Labeo rohita (rohu), 427 nucleotides long. RefSeq lists it as uncharacterized. Lineage: Eukaryota; Metazoa; Chordata; Actinopteri; Cypriniformes; Cyprinidae. The transcript is spliced from 3 exons. The record is from RefSeq and is a predicted model, not a curated record.